Molecule: unclassified non-coding RNA, 300 nt
Filed under: uncultured Glomeraceae
Lineage: Eukaryota; Fungi; Glomeromycota; Glomeromycetes; Glomerales; Glomeraceae
Description: sequence contains 5.8S rRNA gene, ITS2
Rfam family: 5.8S ribosomal RNA (bases 1-67)
Source: RNAcentral
GUGAGUCAUCGAAUCUUUGAACGCAAAUUGCACUCUCUUUCGGGAGAGUAUGCCUGUUUGAGGGUCAGCCUAAAUAAAAUCGGCUUCGUUGCUGUGUUUUCGCGGUAACUUUUGUCGGAAAUUGGGUUAUCUUAAACUUUUCGGUUUAAGUGGCUUAAAAUUUUAUUUUACGAUUCUACGAACGUUUUUAAGAUAUAAUCUUUUACGUUCAAGGUAUCGAAACACUUUUAUUAGACGUGACCGUUACAUCGGAUUAAGUCCAUAAUUUUUUCUUUUACUGACAUUAGACAGGUAAGAGUA